Bactrocera neohumeralis is the source of this 1531-nucleotide long non-coding RNA. RefSeq lists it as uncharacterized. The record is from RefSeq and is a predicted model, not a curated record. The transcript has 3 exons. Lineage: Eukaryota; Metazoa; Arthropoda; Insecta; Diptera; Tephritidae.
UUUUGUUUGCCAUCGAUUGACAAUUCCAAAAAUAGUACUCACCUAAAUAUUGCAUUACAGUUACUCAAAUGGGAGUACUCACUUAAAUAUUGCAUUUCAAUAACUCCAACUUAGUAACAUUAGUUCAAUUUUACAAAUAAACUUACAAACUAACACUUAACUUAUGCAUGCUUACGUAUCGUCGGCUUAGCUUUUCCUUAUAAGCUAGAGAUAUUGCACAUACAUAUGUAUGUAACAUAUGUAUGUACCUUUGCUAGCAUAAGUGCUCAUUAGAAUUUUGCCACUUUGUUUUGUAACUCUUUUGCUUGAAUGUACUUACAGUGGGGAGCAAAACCGAGAACAUAUUUGCUUUCUUGAGGUAUUAGCAUUGAUUUUCAUGAUACAAUUUUUUCGAUAGGUUUUUUGAAAGUUUGAUGUUGACUCUUUAUUAUACUAGCAUUGAAUGGACUAUAAAACUGCAUACCCAAAAAUAUUAUAAAUGCUCUUAUUAAAGUCUUUGAAAUUUGUACGAAAAUUUUAAAAUUGUAUCGUGAAAAAAAAUGCUAAUGUCUCAAAAAGGCAAACAUGCGUUCCUUUCUGCUCCCCAGUGUGCAUUUGAACAUUCACACAAACAUAUGUACUACAUAAUAACUAACUCGCUUUACUACUGAGCUCCGUUGCAAUUUUAAGAGUGCCAAAUUAAGUAGCAAGACACCAAGAAAUCACGUUUUAAUUCAUAAAGAAGGGUGUGAGUUUAACUAGCAAAAGGAAAACAUUAAUUGUGAACUAUUGUACUUGUCUAAAUGUCUGUUCAUGUUUUCGAAACCGAUUUUUCUGCAGACGACAGUAUUGAAGAUCUGGACUUUAAUACUACUGGAAGUAAACGAAAGAGCUCAUUAAGUGCGAAAUCAGGACCGGCCCUAAAAAAAGUCCGUGUGAAUUCACAAAAAAUUAUUUUCAAAGAAGAAUUUUACACAGAAGUGGAAAAAGUUAGUUUUAAAGUUUUUAAAUUAAAGCACACUAUGAAUUUAUAAUUUUUAUUGUUAGAUUUCCGACAAGACAACCUGUGCUAAGUGCGUUGCAUGUCAUCGAGUGAUUAGAGGAAGCGGUGAAGUGACUUCAAAUUUCAUCAAACAUUUGCAAGUCAAGCAUAGUGAAUGUUUUAAAACAUACAAAAGUUAUAAAACAGGUAGCCCUUUUGGCGGUAACAUGCAAUCUGAGUUCGAUGGUAAACUGUUACAUGCAAUGAUUGAUUGUUCAUUGCCCCUUUCCAUUCUGGAAAAAAAAUCCUUUAUAGAUCUUUUUCAAAGUACAGAUAUGAAGGUGAUGUGUCAGAAUGUUUUCAAUGCAAAUUUUUCAAAACGAAAUGUAAAUAUAAAAUGAUGAGCUUUAAAAUUUUUUUAAAAAUAAUCGAAAAUAAUCAAAAAUAAUCCUUGAAAGUAGCCAAUUACUUUUUUGAUUACUUUUGAUUAUUUUUGAUUGUUUUCUCGUAAUCCUAACUAAUCUUAAUUAUUUUUGGAUUAUUUGUAAUCAUAAUUAAUUAAUAAUCAGG